UGGGGAAUAUUGGACAAUGGGGGCAACCCUGAUCCAGCGAUGCCGCGUGUGCGAAGAAGGCCUGCGGGUUGUAAAGCACUUUGGUUGGGGAAGAAGGUUGGUAGAUGAAUAGUCUACUGAAUUGACGUUACCCAAAGAACAAGCACCGGCUAACUCUGUGCCAGCAGCCGCGGUAAGACGUAGGAUGCGAGCGUUGUCCGGAUUUAUUGGGCGUAAAGAGUUCGUAGGUGGUUUGUUAAGUCUGAUGUUAAAGAUUGGGGCUCAACCCCGAAAAUGCAUUGGAUACUGGCAGACUUGAGUGUGGUAGAGGCUAGUGGAAUUCCCAGUGUAGCGGUGAAAUGCGUAGAUAUUGGGAAGAACACCGGUGGCGUAGGCGACUAGCUGGGCCAUAACUGACACUGAGGAACGAAAGCCAGGGUAGCGAAUGGGAUUAGAUACCCCAGUAGUCCUGGCCGUAAACGAUGGAUACUAGGCGUAUCGGGUAUCGACCCCUGAUGUGCCGCAGCUAACGCGAUAAGUAUCCCGCCUGAGUAGUACGGCCGCAAGGU
RNAcentral lists this ribosomal RNA (548 nucleotides) under uncultured bacterium. RNAcentral describes it as "bacterial SSU rRNA". It matches the Rfam family "Bacterial small subunit ribosomal RNA", at positions 355 to 894 of the family's 1533-position model. The record is from RNAcentral.